Long non-coding RNA from Anguilla rostrata (American eel), 4244 nucleotides. RefSeq lists it as uncharacterized. The record is from RefSeq and is a predicted model, not a curated record. NCBI's taxonomy places the organism in Eukaryota, Metazoa, Chordata, Actinopteri, Anguilliformes, Anguillidae. The transcript has 2 exons.
AUUUGUAUAGCAUGUGUGGGAGCCAAGUUACAUUUAUAUAUUUUUUAGUUGAUAAAGAAGCGCAGUCUGUAUUUUGUUUAAUGUAUUUUGUUUAAUUGUUGAAUGUAAGCAUAAUACUUUUAAUACAAGAACUCUGUGAACUCUGUGAAGUUAAAACGGUGACGUAGGUUACCGUCACUUUAAGAGAAUUAGGACUGGAUUCGUAAAAAACGUUGUGCUGUUGCAGCUCAAUUAGCUACCGAGCCACACGGUUUUCUUACCGUAGUACGAUCUUGGAGAACUUAACUUUGAAUACUCCUGUAGGAAGAUAAUGCAAACUGUGGAAUAAAAUUACUUGUUCUAUCUUUUACUACAUCGGAGUCCUGUGGAAGUUUUUCCAACGCAAGUUGACGUACACGAGUUAAGCCAAGGCAAACGAGGAGCUGCAGCCCCCACAGCAUGCAUUGAUGAAAAAACAUCGUGGCUCUAAUAUUUUGGGUCAUCUUGCUAGGUUACCACAACAAAAAAUGAUCAGGCAAUGUAACAUUGUCAAGUCAUUGGAAACAGGUAUCAUAACGUUCGUUCAAAACGUAGCUAUAGCGUAUCAACUACUACUAGCAUUGAUCUGACGUUUCUGUGUAUAAUUUAUACACUGUUAGCUACGUUUAGCUAGCUAGCUACAAUCAAUUUAGUUAGCUAAUUGUUCAUAACUAUUGAAGGCUUGUUACUGGUCAGCUAGCUAUUAGCUAUCGCUUAUCAUGAGUUUGUUACCUGAAACAAAGUCAGUGCUACACCUAUUCGACCACCUUUGUUCGACAGACAGGAAAACGUUAACUGAUUUGCAACUAUAUAUGAAAUAGGUGAAAUAUCGGUAACAACCUGUACCUAGUUAAGUAGGAAAAAAUGUCCUUGUUGUCAUCCCGUGGUUAUUUUUUCAACACUUUCACAAUUUUUCUGUGCCAGCAAAUAAGUCAGAGGUGGUCCAGCGCUAGCUUUUGGCUGCUAAGGGGACGUGUAUCCACAACCCUAUGAAUUGUACUUAACAUAAAUUUGCUAGCAUACUGUAUAAGUGUCCUGUCUUGCGUAUUUGAGGUUAAUAUGAGAAAGGGCGGUCGCUAUCAGCACGUCUAGGAAUCCGUACACAUUCACUGUUGUAACUCAAGUGGCAGGACGCAAAAUAGCCGUUGGGAAAGCAGUUUGAAAGUAUGAAUCAGCGUCUGCGCCAUUGGCUUUAAUGGGUCACAAUGAGAUAAUUACGAGCGUGUUGCUUGUCUUAAAGUUGAUAUAGUAAAUAAGGCUGUAUUAGUAUUACUAAAUGUGUAUGUGUGAAGUUGGUUUAUUUAUUUGAACAGUUUAUGUGUAAUUUUACAGGACUUACAUUUUAACAGGUAAUGAUGUCCAGUUAUUUCUCAAAAAUACGAAGUAACAAUGGGCAAGCACCAGCUAUAAUAAUAUAGCAGGGAUUCAAGCAAUUCGUUUCACAAUUCCCUAGUGGGGUUACAAAGUUAAAUAAUGCAUUUUUACAAAUUUUCGAAAUGGCAUUUGUUCCAGGUUGCACCCCACAGCACAACAACCUGAGCCCAACGUCAGUCUGCUCAUCAGGUUAACUUUCACUCCGUUUGUAAUCGGUGCCAUAUUAACCAGUAAACACAAACCCAAUAAUAAACAAACACAGACCGGAAGUUUAUUUAGGGCCAAGUGCAUAACCUUGGCAACGCGCGUGCGUCCGAUGAAAGCGUCUAUAUAGGGAAUAUGGGACGCAGCCAUUGUUAUGGCCGUUCGUAUAUUGAACAUCGCGAGGUAUUGACUUUUUCCACUCAUUACUUAAGGAUUUAGAAGCAACUUUGUUUAUAAAAAUGUCCUAUGUUAUUUCCUAACCACGUUUCCUUGACCUCGAUGGAAAACGUAAUGAGGUCAAGGAAAGAUGUGACGGAUAAUUUAUAAGGACUUAGGAAAAGACAACCGUCGUGCUAAGAGAAUCCGACUGCACUUACACUAGUCUACGUAAUUAUCCGACAGCGGGUGUUAUUGACGUGAUCUGCCGUGGUGAAACUACAAUGUUCCGAAGAUGGACUACAAAAGCGCAUAUUAGGUGCAUGUGCUCUCUCCACCAGCCGGCGCAGCCAACUGCUACGCACCUCCACCAUGAGAAUUCAGCUGACGGCUAAUUCGGCUUACGCCAAGACCGCCCCCUCCCGGGUUUCGGCAUACUCAUAUUGAUUUCACGACCCAAUAGAAAUUUUUACAAAAAAUGCCAUGUCCAAUUUAUUCAUACCCCUUGAAAUUGUCGCAUUUGAAAGUGAAAAUGCAAGCUUCAAUACCUUUCCGUAUGGUCCUGGUAAUUUCUACUAUGUUCUUGAGUAUUCUGAUCAACUAUAAAUUGAGAUCAGCUGAUGCAGUUGUUCUCUAGUUCGUUUCUAGUCAUUUGCAAAUCGUGGCUAAAACUAUGUGAUUUCAUGGUCUGUAUUUUGCCAACUGUGCGUCAACUCUUUCACUCCUUGCAUUUUUUUACUGUUGCUUCAGGCCCUUGCUCCAGGAUGCCUUUUCUGCUUUCUGAGUGCCAUAACAAUCAGACGAGUCUUUUUCUUCACUUGCACUCAAACGGUUAUAAAUUGGUUAUAACAUCCUUGGCUAUGUUUUUAGCAGUUGAGGCUGAGGCUUGGCUAUGCUUAAUCCUUUCUUUAGCAGCGGCAUUGCCAACCAAAAUACGCUGUUAAAUACACUUUGGCACAUACCUUGCAUAAAUACCACCCUGCAAUCCAGGCAGACCACAGCUUGCGCAAUAUAAUAAUCAUAAUAUCUGGUGGAUUAUUAUCAUCAUAUAAAUGAGAUAAAGCCAACAGUAGCAUAACGGAAUGCCAGUACAGCGAUGAAAAUAGGGAAAUUAUAAUUAUAACCGGCCAUUUUACUAUAAAUAUCUAUGACCAAAUAUGUACAUACAACCAACCUGCACGUAGAGAUGUCGCUUUCAAGAUUGAGUGAUGACCGACAAUCCGUUUGUGAAAUAUACUCAUUUGUGACACUUUGGUAACAACACAUACUGUUUACGGAAUUGUUGCUCUGUUUAGUACAUUUAGGCUUGAUCGAUUAUUAUUUUACCCAGUAACUGACAGUAUUAGCUUUCUAACAAUGUAUGACAUGUCUAAUUUGACUUUUGAAAUAGCGAUUUAUAGUCCGGCAUAACCAAAAGUAUUGUCUUAUGCAUUCAACUGCUGCAUUAGCGGUAAAAAGACGAGACGAGCACUUGCCGAGACGUUUUCGCAACGUAACAUUACAUACAGAAAAAGGGGGGGAAGUACAUACAAGAACGAAUGAUUCCACAUUUAAAGCCACUGUAUGACCAAAUGUAUCUAGACACUCCUUGGUCUGGGGCUGUUUUUCAUGGUUUGGGCCCCUUGUUCCAGUAAAAGUGAAUACUAAUACUGCAGAUCACAAUCACAUUCUCGACAGUUACUAACCCUAUCCCUAACCCUAACCCUUUCCCCUUCAGGCAUGAUUAUGCCCCCUGAGCACACAUUUGAGUCCAUACAGAAAUGGUUUUGUCAAGAAUUGUGUGGAAUAACUUGACCUGCCUGCACAGAGCCCUGACCUCAACUCCAUCCAACACCUGUGGGAUUAAUUGGAAAGACAGAUGCAAGGCAGGGGGGCAUCACUCCAGUCAGUGCUCAUCCUCACCAAUUCUCUUCUGGAUAAAAGGAAGAAAAAUGUAAUAAAAGAUUUUAAUGCUUUAUUAGACAAAACGCUAUGGCUAUAUUUUGGACCCCUGUACUGUCAUUCUCACUUGAAAAUGAUGCAAAAUUGAGUUUCUUGAGCCAAAACAGUUGAUUUGUUUGUGUAUUAUUGUAAAUCACAACAAUUUAAAUAUUUUGGAUAGAUUUGGAGACACCAAGGUACACUGGUUGAAGCAAAAAAUAGUGAUUUUGCUUUAUAGAUCUCUAGUAGUUCAGUAGUUCAGAUUUUUGCACACUAGUGUGCAAUGAGUUUAUGAUCCUGGACAUUUCUAAUUUUAAGUGUUUUAUUUUUGGGAUCUCAGUAUUUCAUUUCAAGAUAAAAAAAGAACUUCAUUUUAAGAAUUUUCACCAAGGUAAUCACAUUUGUGCCACUUUAUUUCUCCCUGUAUUGGAUAUAAACUAAUGUUAGUAUAGUAAAUAGUACAAAUGCCUUAUUAGUACAAACUUCAUUUUUGUUGUGUGUUUGUCUAUAUUUGGUUAAAUAUUUUACCAUAAUUUUAAGUAACAUAAUAAAGAUGACACUGUUGAAAACCA